RNAcentral lists this ribosomal RNA (301 nucleotides) under uncultured bacterium. RNAcentral's name for it is "partial 16S ribosomal RNA". It matches the Rfam family "Bacterial small subunit ribosomal RNA", at positions 509 to 807 of the family's 1533-position model. The record is from RNAcentral.
CAGCAGCCGCGGGAAUACGUAGGGUGCGAGCGUUAAUCGGAAUUACUGGGCGUAAAGCGUGCGCAGGCGGUUGUGUAAGACAGGCGUGAAAUCCCCGGGCUUAACCUGGGAACUGCGCUUGUGACUGCACAGCUAGAGUAUGGCAGAGGGGGGUGGAAUUCCACGUGUAGCAGUGAAAUGCGUAGAGAUGUGGAGGAACACCGAUGGCGAAGGCAGCCCCCUGGGCCAAUACUGACGCUCAUGCACGAAAGCGUGGGGAGCAAACAGGAUUAGAUACCCCAGUAGUCCCUGUCUCUUAUAC